AACUGCUUUUUGCACUACCACG
RNAcentral lists this microRNA (22 nucleotides) under Ciona intestinalis (vase tunicate). RNAcentral's name for it is "cin-miR-34-3p". Its record names the gene cin-miR-34-3p. The record is from miRBase by way of RNAcentral. Lineage: Eukaryota; Metazoa; Chordata; Ascidiacea; Phlebobranchia; Cionidae.